GGAUUGGCACAUCGGUCGUGCCUUAAGGGGCAUGAACUGGUGUAGCCAAUUUCUCACCUUCUGGAGAACCGCGAUGUCCUUAAUUGGGUGCCGCGAGGAACCAGGACCUUUACUUUGAAAAAAUUAGAGUGUUUAAAGCAGGCUAACGCUUGAAUACAUUAGCAUGGAAUAAUGAAAUAGGACGUUCGAUCUUAUUUUGUUGGUUUCUAAGAUUGACGUA
RNAcentral lists this ribosomal RNA (220 nucleotides) under uncultured Entrophospora. Its description in RNAcentral is "uncultured Claroideoglomus partial small subunit ribosomal RNA". The stretch from base 96 to 220 matches the Rfam family "Eukaryotic small subunit ribosomal RNA", at positions 738 to 864 of the family's 1831-position model. The record is from RNAcentral. Lineage: Eukaryota; Fungi; Glomeromycota; Glomeromycetes; Entrophosporales; Entrophosporaceae.